UCGCUUACUUUAUCGGACCCCAAUAUUCCCCAUCAUGCAACGGAAUUUCCUUAACAUGCUUCACAAUGGCGGAAUAUUUUUACCACGUCCGUCAAUAAAAAGACAUCGGACGUUGAGUUUUCAAACAAGUUUUGCAGUCGUACCAAGAGAGAGAAAGAAAGAAGAAAAAAUGGUAAAAUGAAAAGAUUAGAGCCAAGCCCUCGACGUGAACGUGCCUUUUUAGCUCAGCAUGAUACUUAACGCAACAAGGCCCCGGACAUAAUGAAGCAGAGGCUCCUGAAAUCGCUCGAGCCAAGAUAUAAGUGGAAGUUGCAGUAGAGAAGCACGUGCAUAUUUUAGCGCCGUUUUGUUCAACACUUUGAUGCCUGUGUCCACUCUACCAGCUAGGUACCUCCAGCCCGUGUACAUUUUAUGGUCCCUACCAGUUGGGAAAAGUGUGGCUGUAUCCACCAUCAGCCAGAUACUGCAGAAUACAGGUAACCAGUAGAAAAUUCUCUCUUGUCAUAAAGGCCAGAUGAAGAAGGGACAGUUUUAACCGUUAGCAAAUGAAGUGGUAAUAGUCUAUGAUGGGUUUCCAGCACGAAAUGUGUUAAUGUGUUUAAAAUAUUUUCAACCGUGCUGUGAUGUUUAGCACAUCAAUUUCAAUGAAGAUAUUGGCUUGAAAAUCUCUUGCGAUAUUUCCAUAUAUAACUAUACUGAUAUUGUUACUUUUCAAAACCAGUGUUUGUUGUGCACCGAAAUAAUGUCUUCCUUCUCUCUGUGUGUAUAAAUAAUUUGUUUUACA
Molecule: long non-coding RNA, 784 nt
Organism: Limulus polyphemus (Atlantic horseshoe crab)
Lineage: Eukaryota; Metazoa; Arthropoda; Merostomata; Xiphosura; Limulidae
Exons: 3
Source: RefSeq, a predicted model, not a curated record